GCGGCGGUGGUGCAAUGGCCGACACAGCAGACUUAGGAUCUGUGGCCCUUGAUCGGGCUUGAGGGUUCGAAUCCCUUCCGCCGCACCA
RNAcentral lists this transfer RNA (88 nucleotides) under Streptomyces sp. R301. Its description in RNAcentral is "tRNA-Leu". It matches the Rfam family "tRNA". From Rfam's summary of the family: Transfer RNA (tRNA) molecules are approximately 80 nucleotides in length. Their secondary structure includes four short double-helical elements and three loops (D, anti-codon, and T loops). RNAcentral also lists the same sequence under 1 other name. The record is from RNAcentral. Lineage: Bacteria; Bacillati; Actinomycetota; Actinomycetes; Kitasatosporales; Streptomycetaceae.